AUCUGUCCAAGGUACAGUUUUUUGUCAAUCCCGUUAUAUUUCAACAUAAAAAUCCCGAUUUCCCAUGGCUAAAAACGUGGGUUUCCCGUAUCCCGAUGAUUUUCUAUCCCGAAUUCCCGAUUUUUAAACAAGGCAAUCCCAAUUUCCCGUUGCUAAAAUCGGCCAAUCCCGGCGUCCCGAAAAUGGUCUCGCCCUCCCUCAUCAUAGUGCUUCUGUUAUAACUAAUACACAAGGUGAUAUAUUCUUCAUACAUGUAAAUGACGAUUUUUCAUGUUAUUUUCAUGAUUUACGAGCUGGGUAAACUUGGUGCAUAGAAUUAUAAAUGCGCCCUUCACAUUAGUGUAAUUGAUCUGUGUAAACUAUUUGCGUGUGUUUUAUAUCUGCACACAUUAUUAAGUUAUCAAAUGAUCGUAAUUAUCCCUGUCCAAAAUUUGCACAUUUACAAUAGUGUAUAGAGAUUCACUGUACAGCAGGGUGAAGGUUGAUGUGAAUAAAUACCGUAAACCAUUAUCAUGAUUAUCAUGAGCAAUUUAUUUUGGUGACUAUAAAAAAAAAAUGCUUACAAGUCAAAAUUGGAUAUUUCCUCUUAUCAUUCUUAUAAACAUGUUUAAAUAUGUCAAGAAAGUUAACAAAAAAAAGGCAGAAAUAAAUUGCCAUAACUGAGCUGUAGGGAGAGUUAUGUGAGUGAUUCCUAUUCGUCACCACAUUCACUGUUAUAUAUAAUCUCCAAAUAGAACAAGAACCUUGUGUGUAUUGUAUUGACAAAGAUUUUUUAUAACUCUUUGCCAAGUAUACAAUACUUUAGUACUACAUCUUUGUACAGUAAUUAUGGAAAUGUUUUAUAAUGACAUCAGUAUAUUAGCUAGUCAAUGGUAGCUGGUUGAAAAUUAUAUCUUUUCUCAUUCAAAAUAUUCAGAUGAUUAUAUUUGCAUAACUUUCUAUGGGAAGAAAGUACAAAGAGUUGUUUCAUUUUCAUGUUAAAAGGGGUUAGACAUAUAUAUAUCUGUUAUUUUUCUGGCAUCUGCUGCAUAAGCAUACAUGUACAUGUAUGUCAUUUUUUCAAAAUAGAUGUAUGUUCCCUUCCUGUCGUACUUUUGCUGUAGGGAUUUUUUAAAAUAAUUCCUUAAACAUGUACACUCAAAUGUGGAUUUUUUUUUGUUAUUUCCUUUUUUUCUGGCACAUACAUGUAUAUUUUUCUCAACAGUUUUACAACCACAAUUGAAAUACUUGAUUAUUUUUUUGUAUUUGAUGACAUAGAUUCAGUAUAUUUAGCUGGAUAUAAUGAACACAUUUUAUUUAUACAAUUGAUAUGCAUUUGUAGAUAGAAAUAUAUUUAACUUGUUAACUUUUUAUUUAGUUAUCCCAGAAUAUUGACUAUUGUGAUACUUUUAUAUUCCAUUUUAGAUAACAGAUGUUCACCUUUUUUUUUAAUCAUAACUUGUACAUUUUAUCACAUCAUAAAGUUCUAUUAAUAUUUCAUAAGAAACGAAUAUUGAAGCAUUAUCAAUUAAAAAUUAGUAUUUUGACUAGAAAAUUAGAAUUUUGCAACUAAAUGCAUUCUGACCUUCACCAAUUUUUUUCUGGAGGUUAUUUUUAACCAUUGGAAGCAGUUGAAAUAAAAAAAAAUGCUGCGAUGACAAUUUGGAAAAGAGUAAAUAUUGUGUACAGUAAGUUGUUUUGGACAUACUUUACAAGAAAUGUUGAAGGUAACAUUAUAAUGAUUUGAUACAUGGUUAGGGUAUUUUGGCCUUCUUCAAUAUGCAUUUAUUUCUUAACAUUUUAUUGAAUGAUUUACCUUCUGCUGUUGUCUGCUCUAUGGUCGGGUUGUUGUCUCUUUGGCACAUUCCCCAUUUCCAUUCUCAAUUUUAUAUAAGGUACAAUUCAUAGUUGGGCAUUGUAACGCUGAAUUGUAAGUUAACAAAAGAUCUUUCCAUGUUGUAUAUUAUACAUAACACACAAGAUGAUUAAGUGAGUUAAAUAUCAAUUUUCGGGGAAAAUUGAGUAAAUCUGUGUGUAAUGUGAUAUUGAAUGUAUAGGGGAAAUGUAAGAGGGAAUUGAACAUAAUCAAUUGCAAUAGCUGUAAAAAAAAAAAAGCUAUUAUGUCUGAUAUUUAACUUUAAUCUCAAUGUCUGUCUAUUUCAAAAAAAGUAAUUGUAAUUAAUUAUAUUGACAAUGUAAUUUUAAUGUAAUUAAUUACAUUGAAAUACAAAUUUUAUUGUAUUCAUUACAUUUAAAAAUUAUGUAAUUGAAAUGUAAUGACCCCAAGUUUAUCAGCUAUGAAGGUAAAUUGUAAGAUUGAUAUUUAACUUACAUCACUUUGUCUAACAUGUAGGUCAAUUGUAAGACUGAUAUUUAACCUAAAUCGCCUUGUCUGUAUUUAAUGUAGGUCAGUUGUACAGUUAUACACAUAUCAUUUAUUGGUUGGUUGUAUCAAUACUAUAUUUAGGCAUAUCAUUGAGAUAUUUAUAGCCUAGUGCAAUAAUUAUGUAAAUAUUCAGAGUUGCUCAGGGUUGAUCCUAGUGAUAAUGGUGCCUGUAUGUGUUUUAGUAAUUCACUUCCUGGUUGGUGUAGUAGUAUUGUGUAGAUCAAUGUUUUUAAGGUACCUCAGAAAAUUUCUUACAUACAUUUUGGCUAAAAAAGGUAUGUGUUAAAUAUUUACUAUGAUAUUAGAACCUGAUUUGUUAAAGACAUAAUAUUAUCUAGAUUUUGACAACAAACAAUACAAAACAAAAACUAAAUCUUUGUCCUUCUGACCUUAUAAUUUUAUGAAGGUAACCAUAAACACUAAAUGUUUGUUCUAUUCUAAAUAUAUAGAAUUUUCUUGAUUUAAUUUCAUAUUUUUUAGGUCUAGCCAGAUGAUUAAAGUAUAUUUUGUCCAAUGAUUUCCAUCUUUGUAACUUUAUAUUAUUUUUAUUACCCAUAAAUGCCACAAGAAAUAAGAAUAAUGACUUUAAUCAUGAUAUACAGAUAUAAUUUAAUGAAAUUUAAGAUGGAAACAAUUUUUUUUUAGUUCAGAAAUGGAAUGUAAAAUUAUGGUUGUCUUUAUUGAUUUUCUAGGCCAUUUUAUAUAUUUAAAUAUUUAUUUUAGGUAUGAGGCAGCAGGCAUUGAGUUUUAAUUUGAAAGAAAUUCAGUUACAGUGUUAAAGUAACGCCACAGGAAAAAAUAUAAUAUUUUAUUUUUAACAUAAAUGUGAUUUGCUGAUUUUAUUAUACACAUAAUCUUUAAACAACAAUAUGAUUGAUAUACAGAUUCUGUGUCCGCCCUUCAUUUACAAGAAGCUGAAAAAGGAUAUCUUUUACUUCCUGUUUUGAAGACCAUUUUAGGGCUCUUGGGAGUUUGGUAUUUCAUUGGUUGACACAACCGUUAUCAAAACAGGAAGAAGAAGAGAACAUUGGUAGGUUCUUGUAAACCAACCCUGACACAGGAUCUGUAUACAAUCAGAUUGUUUAAACAAUGAAUGAAAAUGAAUCAGAACAGCUUCAUGCACUUGUUAAAUUGUGCACAGAAAUGAUAAGAAAGAACUUAUUUUGAGAAGGGCCAUGCGAUAUAAUUCCUAUAUUCUCAUCCCGCUUUGAAAAGGGCAAGCGAACUUUAAAAAAAAUCUUUUCUAGUUUAGACUUUACAGGUUUCUUAUCAAAAUAAAGAAUAAAAAGUGAGAUAUGUUUGAAUGCUGCUGUUGUACUAAAAAGUCUGAGCAAUAUGUGAAAAUCUAGAUACAUGUUAUAUACUUGUACCUGAAAGGAUGCCGAUGUAGGAAUUAUGUGGUCUAAUUAUGAGGUUCCAUGUUUUUUUCCCUGAUUCUGUGAUGUAUACAAUGUUGAUAUUAGAGAUCUGUGUGUUCAUUCCAUUAUAUCAUUUGUAGAGUUUUAUAUCUUCAUCAUGUUAAAUUUUAUAUUGAAUAUUUUCAUAUGUAUAGUAUCCAAUAAUAAAGAUUGAUAUUUCUUUA
RNAcentral lists this long non-coding RNA (3947 nucleotides) under Mytilus galloprovincialis (Mediterranean mussel). The record is from RNAcentral. Lineage: Eukaryota; Metazoa; Mollusca; Bivalvia; Mytilida; Mytilidae.